UAGGGAAUAUUGUGCAAUGGGCGAAAGCCUGACACAGCCAUGCCGCGUGUGUGAAGAAGGCCCUAGGGUUGUAAAGCACUUUCAGCGGAGAAGAAAAGCCCGGAGUUAAAACCUCCAGGUCUUGACGUUACCCGCAGAAGAAGCACCGGCUAACUCCGUGCCAGCAGCCGCGGUAAUACGGAGGGUGCGAACGUUAAUCGGAAUUACUGGGCGUAAAGCGCGCGUAGGCGGUUCGUUAAGUGAGAUGUGAAAUCCCCGGGCUCAACCUGGGAACUGCAUUUCAAACUAACGGGCUAGAGUGUAGUAGAGGGAGGCGGAAUUUCCUGUGUAGCGGUGGAAUGCGUAGAUAUAGGAAGGAACACCAGUGGCGAAGGCGGCCUCCUGGACUAACACUGACGCUGAGGUGCGAAAGCGUGGGGAGCAAACAGG
RNAcentral lists this ribosomal RNA (429 nucleotides) under uncultured Gammaproteobacteria bacterium. RNAcentral's name for it is "bacterial SSU rRNA". It matches the Rfam family "Bacterial small subunit ribosomal RNA", at positions 355 to 776 of the family's 1533-position model. The record is from RNAcentral. Lineage: Bacteria; Pseudomonadati; Pseudomonadota; Gammaproteobacteria. RNAcentral also lists the same sequence under 1 other name.